Molecule: ribosomal RNA, 400 nt
Filed under: uncultured bacterium
Lineage: Bacteria
Description: bacterial SSU rRNA
Rfam family: Bacterial small subunit ribosomal RNA
Source: RNAcentral
UGGGGAAUAUUGGACAAUGGGCGAAAGCCUGAUCCAGCAAUGCCGCGUGAGUGAUGAAGGCCUUAGGGUUGUAAAGCUCUUUUACCCGGGAUGAUAAUGACAGUACCGGGAGAAUAAGCUCCGGCUAACUCCGUGCCAGCAGCCGCGGUAAUACGGAGGGAGCUAGCGUUGUUCGGAAUUACUGGGCGUAAAGCGUGCGUAGGCGGCGACUCAAGUCAGAGGUGAAAGCCCGGGGCUCAACCCCGGAACUGCCUUUGAAACUAGGUUGCUAGAAUGUCGGAGAGGUGAGUGGAAUUCCGAGUGUAGAGGUGAAAUUCGUAGAUAUUCGGAAGAACACCAGUGGCGAAGGCGGCUCACUGGACGACUAUUGACGCUGAGGCACGAAAGCGUGGGGAGCAAA